UUUCUUAUUGCAAAGCUUGAGUCAACGUAACUAAGCCAGCAGUUUUGUUUAUUGGAUACGGCGUAGUAGCCUCGCCAAAUCUGGAAUUCAAAACAUUUUAAUCUCCCAUAAGCCAUUUAUAAUUUAAUUAUAAUAAAUUAUGCAGGCCGUGGCAAGGGCAGAAAUUGAACCAGCUAUAAAAACGCCUGGAGGGAAACCACAUCAACUCAAAACCAAAAUGAAUCUAAAACUGAGCGUGCUUCUUUUCAUGGUUUACAACUUUGGCGUGAGGUGGUCAUUUGCAAGAUCGGCAGGAGAGUAAAGUACUUUAAUUGGGUACACUAAUAAAAGUGAUGAAAAUUAAUUGCCUUGGAGUCUUAUUAAUUUUAGAUAGAUAGAUUAAAUGGAGAUAGUUGCAGCAUAUCAACUUAGUACAGGACCUCCUUUCCCUGAGACGAAGGUGCAGGCCAUUGUCUGAUUUAAGGGUUAGCACCGCGGAUAGAAUAGGAUCGUAUCUGUGCCGUCCUGCCUCGCACUUCAACUUUUCGCCUGGGGAGAGACCGAGUUCUAGGAGCGCAAACUUUUGGCCAAUGCAGUUUCGUGGUCCAGCACUGAAUGGUAAAUACUCAAAGGGAGCGGGUUUUUCCUCCUCAAAUCGCUCCGGUCGAAAAUGAUGGGGAUCCUUGAAGAUGCGGUCGUUGUAGCCCAGCAGAAUGAGAGCCAGAUUGAGAGUGGUGCCCUUGGGCACCAGGCUGCCAUCUAAGGAAGGAGAAAAUGUAGAACUAUUUUGUUUUGUAAAUAUAUAAGAUACUUACUGAUAUCAUAA
Drosophila santomea is the source of this 805-nucleotide long non-coding RNA. RefSeq lists it as uncharacterized. NCBI's taxonomy places the organism in Eukaryota, Metazoa, Arthropoda, Insecta, Diptera, Drosophilidae. The record is from RefSeq and is a predicted model, not a curated record. The transcript is spliced from 4 exons.